This 458-nucleotide ribosomal RNA is filed under the name uncultured bacterium. RNAcentral describes it as "partial 16S ribosomal RNA". It matches the Rfam family "Bacterial small subunit ribosomal RNA", at positions 29 to 507 of the family's 1533-position model. The record is from RNAcentral.
AGCGAACGCUGGCGGCAGGCCUAACACAUGCAAGUCGAACGAACUCUUCGGAGUUAGUGGCGGACGGGUGAGUAACACGUGGGAACGUUCCGUUAGGUUCGGAAUAACUCAGGGAAACUUGUGCUAAUACCGAAUGUGCCCCUCUGGGGAAAGAUUUAUCGCCUGUAUAACGGCCGGCGUCUGUUUAGCUAGUUGGUGGGGUAAAGGCUCAGCAAGGCGACGAUCAGUAGCUGGGCUGAGAGGCUGAGAAGCCACAUUGGAACUGAGACACGGUCCAAACUCGGAAGGGAGGCAGCAGUGGGGAAUAUUGGACAAUGGGCGCAAGCCUGAUCGAGCCAUACCGCGUGGGUGAAGAAGGCCUUCGGGUUGUAAAGCCCUUUUGUUGGGAAAGAAAAGCAGCAGGUUAAUACCCCGCUGUUCUGACGGUACCCAAAGAAUAAGCACCGGCUAACUUCGUG